UACGUAGGGGGCAAGCGUUGUCCGGAAUCAUUGGGCGUAAAGAGCGUGUAGGCGGCCCGGUAAGUCCGUUGUGAAAGUCCAGGGCUCAACCCUGGAAAGCCGAUGGAUACUGCCGGGCUAGAGUUCGGAAGAGGCGAGUGGAAUUCCUGGUGUAGCGGUGGAAUGCGCAGAUAUCAGGAGGAACACCUAUAGCGAAGGCAGCUCGCUGGGACGUGACUGACGCUGAGACGCGAAAGCGUGGGGAGCAAACAGG
Molecule: ribosomal RNA, 253 nt
Filed under: uncultured bacterium
Lineage: Bacteria
Description: partial 16S ribosomal RNA
Rfam family: Bacterial small subunit ribosomal RNA
Source: RNAcentral